UGUCUAAGUAUGAAUAUCUCUAUACUGUGAAACUGCGAAUGGCUCAUUAAAUCAGUUAUAGUUUACUUGAUGGUAACCUUACUCGGAUAACUGUACCAAUUGUAGAGCUAAUACGUGCACCAAGUCCCGACUUCUGGAAGGGAUGUAUUUAUUAGAUACAAAGCCAAUGCGGGCUUCGGCCCGGUACAGUGGCGAGUCAUGAUAACUGCUCGAAUCGCAUGGCCUAAGCGCCGGCGAUGGUUCAUUCAAAUUUCUGCCCUAUCAACUUUCGAUGGUAGGGUAUUGGCCUACCAUGGUUACAACGGGUAACGGAGAAUUAGGGUUCGAUUCCGGAGAGGGAGCCUGAGAAACGGCUACCACAUCCAAGGAAGGCAGCAGGCGCGCAAAUUACCCAAUCCCGACUCGGGGAGGUAGUGACAAUAAAUAACAAUGCUGGGCUAUUUUGGUCUGGCAAUUGGAAUGAGAACAAUAUAAAUCCCUUAACGAGGAACAAUUGGAGGGCAAGUCUGGUGCCAGCAGCCGCGGUAAUUCCAGCUCCAAUAGCGUAUAUUAAAGUUGUUGCAGUUAAAAAGCUCGUAGUUGGGUUUCGGAGCGGUCAGGCUGGUCCGCCGAGAGGCGAGUACUGGCCGGCCGCUCUUCCUCUCGGAGUCCCUGUCUGCUCUUUGUUGCAGUGGGCAGGGAAUUCGGGACGUUUACUUUGAAAAAAUUAGAGUGUUCAAAGCAGGCGAUUGCUUGAAUACAUUAGCAUGGAAUAAUGGAAUAGGACCUCGGUCCUAUUUCGUUGGUUUCCAGGACCGAAGUAAUGAUUAAUAGGGACAGUUGGGGGCAUUCGUAUUUAAUUG
This 842-nucleotide ribosomal RNA is filed under the name Ircinia felix. RNAcentral's name for it is "SSU rRNA". It matches the Rfam family "Eukaryotic small subunit ribosomal RNA", at positions 56 to 904 of the family's 1831-position model. The record is from RNAcentral. Lineage: Eukaryota; Metazoa; Porifera; Demospongiae; Dictyoceratida; Irciniidae.